CCUACGGGAGGCAGCAGUGGGGGAUAUUGCACAAUGGGGGAAACCCUGAUGCAGCGACGCCGCGUGGGCGAAGAAGUAUCUCGGUAUGUAAAGCUCUAUCAGCAGGGAAGAAGAAAUGACGGUACCUGAGUAAGAAGCACCGGCUAAAUACGUGCCAGCAGCCGCGGCCAUACGUAUGGUGCAAGCGGUAUCCGGAUUUACUGGGUGUAAAGGGGGCGUAGGCGGCACGGCAAGCCUGAUGUGAAAGCCCGGGGACCAACCGCGGGACUGCAUUGGGAACUGCCGGGCUGGAGUGCCGGAGAGGUAGGCGGAAUGCCUAGUGUAGCGGUGAAAUGCGUAGAUAUUAGGAGGAACACCAGUGGCGAAGGCGGCCUACUGGACGGUGACUGACGCUGAGGCUCGAAAGCGUGGGGAUCGAACAGGAUUAGAUACCCCAGUAGUA
RNAcentral lists this ribosomal RNA (442 nucleotides) under uncultured bacterium. RNAcentral's name for it is "partial 16S ribosomal RNA". It matches the Rfam family "Bacterial small subunit ribosomal RNA", at positions 338 to 795 of the family's 1533-position model. The record is from RNAcentral.